AAUAUUUUUCAAUGGAGGCAACUCUGAACCAGCCAUGCCGCGUGCAGGAUGACGUUCCUAUGGAUUGUCAACUGCUUUUGUACCGGAAGAAAACAUUCUCCGUGUAGUAAAUUGCCGGUACUGUAAGUAUAAGGAUCGGCUAACUCCGUGUCCGCAGCCGCGGUAAUACGGAGGAUCCACGCGUUAUCCGGAAUUAUUGGGUUUAAAGGGUCCGUAGGCGGCCGUAUAAGUCAGCGGUGAAAGUAUUUGGCUGAACCAAAAAAUAGCCGUUGAUAGUGUAGGGCUUGAAGUGUUGUGAAGUAGCGAGAAUAUGUAGUGUAGCGGUGAAAUGCUUAGAUAUUACAUGGAAGAACAAUUGCGAAGGAAGGUUACUAACAAACGAUUGACGCUGAUGGACGAAAGAGUGGGUAGCGAACA
Molecule: ribosomal RNA, 417 nt
Filed under: uncultured bacterium
Lineage: Bacteria
Description: partial 16S ribosomal RNA
Rfam family: Bacterial small subunit ribosomal RNA
Source: RNAcentral